GUGGGGAAUAUUGGACAAUGGGGGCAACCCUGAUCCAGCCAUGCCGCGUGUGUGAAGAAGGCCUUCGGGUUGUAAAGCACUUUUGUCCGGAACGAAAAGCGUUCGGUUAAUAACCGGGCGUCAUGACGGUACCGGAAGAAUAAGCACCGGCUAACUUCGUGCCAGCAGCCGCGGUAAUACGAAGGGUGCAAGCGUUACUCGGAAUUACUGGGCGUAAAGCGUGCGUAGGUGGUUCGUUAAGUCUGUCGUGAAAGCCCCGGGCUCAACCUGGGAAUGGCGAUGGAUACUGGCGAGCUAGAGUGCGGUAGAGGGUGGUGGAAUUCCCGGUGUAGCAGUGAAAUGCGUAGAGAUCGGGAGGAACAUUCGUGGCGAAGGCGGCCACCUGGACCAGCACUGACACUGAGGCACGAAAGCGUGGGGAGCAAACAGGAUUAGAAACCCGGGUAGUCC
Molecule: ribosomal RNA, 450 nt
Filed under: uncultured bacterium
Lineage: Bacteria
Description: bacterial SSU rRNA
Rfam family: Bacterial small subunit ribosomal RNA
Source: RNAcentral